Pteronotus mesoamericanus is the source of this 1259-nucleotide long non-coding RNA. RefSeq lists it as uncharacterized. NCBI's taxonomy places the organism in Eukaryota, Metazoa, Chordata, Mammalia, Chiroptera, Mormoopidae. The transcript is spliced from 4 exons. The record is from RefSeq and is a predicted model, not a curated record.
UCUGGCUUGUCAUAUGUUCUUAAUAAAUGUUGUUGAAAGAUGGGAUGCGCUGUCUUUGGAAAUCAUGUUAUUUUUGUUGUCAUGGAGUGCUUGCCCUUCACUUGUUGGAGAGGGCAUAGAGCAGCGAGCUCUGAAAGGAAGAUGAAGACCGAAACAAAUCCUGGCCCCAAAGCAUAGACUGACAUUCUGUGAUGUUUAUAAAACAGAUAAGUGAACAAAGGGGCCAAACGAGAGAAAAGCUUGUGGAGAAUUGGGGAAUACUCAGACAAAUUGAAGGAGAAAAUUGAGGCAAUUAUCUGAAAAAUACAUGUGAAAACCUGUUAUCACUCAGAAUGAAAGGUUUACCAUGGGAAAUUUGGAGAAUAUUGCAAAAACAAAGGAAAAUACAAACACCUCUGAAUUCACAAUUUACAUCAUAGAAACUAGGACUCCUCAGGACGAAGGUCUAAAUGAGCUUCACAUACCAGAGAACAAAAGAAGCUUUCAAAGCUACUAGGAUCAUGUCUAAAGUACACAAGAGCCAACUGGAAGAGAAUCCUACUGGCCACAGAAGAUAUUUUGGUGCAUCAACAAGCAUAAAAACUGUGUGAGAGAGAAAUACAUCAAAACAGAAUUAAGAUACAGCUCCCUGUAGUUUCCAAAAUAUAUUACCCCACACCCAUCUACUUUGCAUUUUCUAAAACUAACUGCUCUUCUCUGAAGUCAUUACCUUAACCACUCUAUAUGUUCUUCAUGUUCUGUACAUGUUCACUAUAAUUUGUAGGGUCUGAAAAAUAAGUAAAGGCAGCACAUGUGUUUAAUCUCCCACAUUCAUAAGCCUCAGAAUUACUCUUAAAUAUUUUUAAAGAAAACAUGCAUGAAGACACACAAAUCUGCUUUGCUAGACCAAAAUAAUGUCAAAAUUAAGUGUGGAUUUCUUUGCAAAAAGGCUAUCUUUCUGUUGAGUACCAGCUUCAUUUUUUUCUCAUGUACUUAUUCUAAAUUUCUAAUGUGAAUAGAAAGAAUUUGACUACGUUCUAGGAAAUAGUUUUCUGACUGAUUUUUAUCUUUAAGGAGAGUUAUGUCAUUUUAAGUGUUUUCUUACUGUGGAAGUUGAGCAGUAGUUUCCAUUAAAACUUCUCAUGUACUAUGCUGUGCAGAGAAAAUUAGACUGCACGUCCAUCUUGUUCUUCAAAAAGCUUUAAUUGUAUAGCACCCGAAGUCUUACUAAUCCACAUUAGUAAUACACAUUAUAACCUCAGUAGAAGAUAUUCACCAUG